Callithrix jacchus (white-tufted-ear marmoset) is the source of this 3739-nucleotide non-coding RNA. The record is from RefSeq and is a predicted model, not a curated record. NCBI's taxonomy places the organism in Eukaryota, Metazoa, Chordata, Mammalia, Primates, Cebidae.
UGGACUUCCCAGGCAGCUUUCCACUUAGUUAACUUGCCCAACCUGCUCUGUCGACUCUGGGCAGAGCCCUGCCUGAACUUCCCUGCUCCAGCGAACUGUGGGAGAUGCCAAAACAGCACCCGGCUGCCCACCACAAUUACCAGAAGGGCCCCAGUUCCUGGCUUCUCUGUGGCUCAGACUCUGGUCCUAUCGCCUACACUUGGGAACUCUGUGCAUCCUCUUUCUCCUUUCUGCUGAGGUGGUGGCUGCACUGAGUUGCCUCUGUCUCUUUAAGAGAGAAAGAGAGAGCAAGAGACGGAAAUCAGGAAGUAUAAGAGAGCCGAGAGCCAGGACUCAGGACUGAGCUUGGUUUUUCACCGCCACAGGGAGGCAGGGAAGAAACCCGCUAGUCCCAGCUCCUGCGGUGGCACAGGCCAUCGCAACUGGCCCUGUCUGUGGGUCCUAGGGGCCCUUGGCCACCAGGAGGCUAAGAAUACUGCCCAUGAAUGACAGCAAGCCCUGAGGGCUCUGGGGGUGCCACCCAGUUCCACAAGCCUGCAUCCCCUGCAGUGGAGAUGGGCUCUGUGCCUGGACGUGCCACAGACAGAAAACACAACACACGCUUGCCAGGAAGAGCCUUUGCCUGACUCAGGGCGGCUCAGAGUGUGGGGCGGAAGGUGACCAGCCAGGCCAGGGCAGGAGAUGCAGAGCACCGCCAAUUACCUGUGGCACACAGAUGACCUGCUGGGGCAGGGGGCCACUGCCAGUGUGUACAAGGCCCGCAACAAGAAAUCCGGGGAGCUAGUUGCUGUGAAGGUCUUCAAUACCGUCAGCUACCUGCGGCCCCGAGAGGUGCAGGUGAGGGAGUUUGAGGUCCUGCGGAAGCUGAACCACCAGAACAUCGUCAAGCUCUUUGCAGUGGAGGAGACGGGGGGCAGCCGGCAGAAGGUGCUGGUGAUGGAAUACUGCUCCAGUGGGAGCCUGCUGAGCAUGCUGGAGAGCCCGGAGAAUGCCUUCGGGCUGCCGGAGGAUGAAUUCCUGGUGGUGCUGCGCUGUGUGGUGGCAGGCAUGAACCACCUGCGGGAGAACGGCAUUGUGCAUCGCGACAUCAAGCCUGGGAACAUCAUGCGGCUCAUGGGGGAGGAGGGGCAGAGCAUCUACAAGCUGACCGACUUCGGGGCCGCCCGGGAGCUGGAUGAUGAUGAGAAGUUCGUCUCGGUCUAUGGGACUGAGGAGUACCUGCACCCGGACAUGUAUGAGCGGGCAGUGCUUCGAAAGCCCCAGCAAAAAGCAUUCGGGGUGACUGUGGAUCUCUGGAGCAUUGGCGUGACCCUGUACCAUGCAGCCACCGGCAGCCUGCCCUUUAUUCCCUUUGGUGGGCCACGUCGGAACAAGGAGAUCAUGUACCGGAUCACCACAGAGAAGCCAGCUGGGGCCAUUGCUGGUACUCAGAGGCGGGAGAACGGUCCCUUGGAGUGGAGCUACACCCUCCCCAUCACCUGCCAGCUGUCACUGGGGCUGCAGAGCCAGCUGGUACCCAUCCUGGCCAACAUCCUGGAGGUGGAGCAGGCCAAGUGCUGGGGCUUCGACCAGUUCUUUGCGGAGACCAGUGACAUCCUGCAGCGAGUUGUCGUCCAUGUCUUCUCCCUGUCCCAGGCAGUCCUGCACCACAUCUACAUCCAUGCCCACAACACGAUAGCCAUUUUCCAGGAGGCUGUGCACAAGCAGACCAGCGUGGCCCCCCGGCACCAGGAGUACCUCUUUGAGGGUCACCUCUGUGUCCUCGAGCCCAGCAUCUCAGCACAGCACAUCGCCCACACAACAGCAAGCAGCCCUCUGACCCUCUUCAGCACAGCCAUCCUCAAGGGGCUGGCCUUCAGGGAUCCUGCUCUGGAUGUCCCCAAGUUCGUCCCCAAAGUGGACCUGCAGGCAGAUUACAACACGGCCAAGGGCGUGUUGGGAGCCGGCUACCAGGCCCUGCGGCUGGCGCGGGCCCUGCUGGAUGGGCAGGAGCUGAUGUUGCAGGGGCUGCACCAGGUCUUGGAGGUGCUCCAGGCCACAUGCAGGCGGACUCUGGAGGUGGCGAGGACAUCCCUCCUCUUCCUUAGCAGCAGCCUGGGCACUGAGAGGUUCAGCAGCAUGGCUGGAACACCUGAGAUCCAGGAACUCAAGGCAGCCACAGAACUGAGGUCCAGGCUGCGGACUCUAGCUGAGGUCCUCUCCAGAUGCUCCCAAAAUAUCAUAGAGACCCAGGAGAGCCUGAGCAGCCUGCGCUUGGAGUUGGUGAAGAGCCGGGAUCAGGUACAUGAGGAAAGAAGCAUCCAGCAGAUUCAGUGCUGUGUGGACAAGAUGAACCUCAUCUACAAACAGUUCAAGAAGUCUAGGAUGAGGCCAGGGCUCGGCUACAACGAGGAGCAAAUUCACAAGCUGGAUAAGGUGAAUUUCAGUCAUUUAGCCAAAAGGCUUCUGCAGGUGUUCCAAGAGGAGUGCGUGCAGAAGUAUCAAGCGUCCCUAGUCACGCACGGCAAGAGGAUGAGGGUGGUGCACGAGACCAGGAACCACCUGCGCCUGGUCGGCUGUUCUGUGGCUGCCUGUAACACAGAAGCCCAGGGGGUCCAGGAGAGUCUCAGCAAGAUCCUGGAAGAGCUCUCUCACCAGCUCCUUCAGGACCGAGCACGGGGGGCUCUGGCCUCCUCACCGCCCAUAUCUCCUCAUCCCAGCCCUACACCAAAGGACCUGCUUCUCCACAUGCAAGAGCUCUGCCAGGGGAUGAAGCUGCUGGCAUCUGACCUUCUGGACAACAACCGCACCAUCGAACGGUGAGGGGCCUUCACCUUGCGUGCGGCAGCGCUGCGUCUUCAAGCUCCCUCUGCCUGGGCGCGGAGAGUCCCCAAGCCUGCCCAUACCAGUGUGAUGGCGCUUGUCCAUUUUCCGAGCAGCCCUGUUGAAGGGCCCUGUCCACAAGUGAGCUGACAUCCUCAGGAGGCUAAGUAGAGUCCCAGCAGCUCCUGAUGUCUGAGCUCCAUGGGGCGUGUGAGGCAUCCUGAAGCAUUAGAAUGACUUGAACACUGCUCUCCCGCACUGUGAGACCAACCCAGGACAAGAUCCUGUCCCAUCACAUCAGCCUACCUCCCUCCUGGCUGCUGGCUGGGAUGUCGCCAGCAUUACCUUCCACUGCCUUUCUCCCUGGGAAGUGGCACAGCUGAGAUUGGGCACCAGGCCACCUCUGUUGGGACCCACGGGAGAGCAUGACAGACACUGCCUGGGCUGACCUUUCCAUCUCAUCCAGGCGCAGGUAUUGCUCCUCCGUGCCCCUGGCUUGGCCAUGGGAAGAAGAGGCUCCCAUACGCCCUCCCAUUCCCUCUGGUUUGUAGAGCUUCACUCCGUAGCCAGCAGGAGAGGUGGCCCCUGGGGAGUCCCCAGGGUACUAGGUCAGGUGACCUCGUCACAAUCUUCCUUCCCCUUCAAGCGUUUCAUGUUGAACACAGCAGUCUCUGUUCCCCUGUGAUUUCCGAGGGUCACCCUUCUCAGCCCCAGGCAACAUAGAGCCUCCUGUUUUUUCUAGGCUUGGUCUGAUGUUGAGAAAAUGGGUGGCCAGGGCCAGUGCCAGGGCCGUGGGCUCCCCCUUUUCCUCUCCCUCCCUCCCUGAGGCUCUGGCCAGUCCUGGGACAUGCAGCCAGUGGCAAAAGGCCUGUGACUUCAGGCAGAUCCAAGGCCUGCACCUUCAAGAAGUGGAAUAAAUGUGGCCUUCAUUUCUGUU